Molecule: ribosomal RNA, 253 nt
Filed under: uncultured bacterium
Lineage: Bacteria
Description: partial 16S ribosomal RNA
Rfam family: Bacterial small subunit ribosomal RNA
Source: RNAcentral
UACAGAGGUCCCGAGCGUUGUUCGGAUUCAUUGGGCGUAAAGGGCGCGUAGGCGGCUUGGCAAGUUGGAUGUGAAAGCCCAGGGCUCAACCCUGGAAUUGCAUUCAAGACUGCCUUGCUUGAAUUCGGUAGAGGUUGGUGGAAUUCCCAGUGUAGAGGUGAAAUUCGUAGAGAUUGGGAAGAACACCUGUGGCGAAGGCGGCCAACUGGACCGACAUUGACGCUGAGGCGCGAAAGCGUGGGGAUCAAACAGG